RNAcentral lists this transfer RNA (64 nucleotides) under Megacampsomeris sp. 1 YJY-2023a. RNAcentral describes it as "tRNA-His". Lineage: Eukaryota; Metazoa; Arthropoda; Insecta; Hymenoptera; Scoliidae. The record is from RNAcentral.
GUUUAAAUAGUUUAUUUUAAAACAUUAAUUUGUGAAAUUAAAAAAAUAUUUUAUAUUUUAAACA